This is a long non-coding RNA of Anas platyrhynchos (mallard), 5192 nucleotides long. RefSeq lists it as uncharacterized. The record is from RefSeq and is a predicted model, not a curated record. NCBI's taxonomy places the organism in Eukaryota, Metazoa, Chordata, Aves, Anseriformes, Anatidae.
GAUAAAAGUGGUGGGUUGGGAAGAAAGGAGGUUUCUUUGCCAGUUGUACAGCUCUGCUUGGAGCUCCCAGCUGAGGUCAGUGAGAUGUGCUGGGUGUUUAAGAUCUCAGCAUAAAGAGUGAAGGAAAGGUGAAAAAUGGUAUCUGAAUAGAAGAAAAGGAGAAGACAUAGAGAAGGUGAUGCAGAAGGUGGGAAAGCUCCAUGUGAUGGUGCAGUUUGGAGUCUGUGUGCUCAACCAAGCUGGGAAGGAACAGUCAUCCAUUAUGGGCCUGCUUUAAACAUGUGAAGGACAGGACAUCUCCCGUCACCAAUGCCUCUACUUGCCCACAUUAGCUCUUUUGCUUCCCACUACCUCUGUUGAGUGCUGUUCUCCCAAGGGGAGGUUAUGGGAAAAGCCUCUGACCAUCCCAAGCAUCACGCAGAAUGUGGAGGACUACGUUGUUCAGACUCAGCGAGGUCUGUAUGAGCAUCUGCUGAGCAGAACUUAUGCUGUGCAAACUGCUCUAGGAGUGCACGUGGAGCACUAUCAAUAUGGACUUGGACUUUCCUGGAGAAAACAGGACUGCUCCCAACCAGCAAGGGUGUUUGGGCAGCUAAUAUCAAAGGAAAUCAAUUUCUGACAUUUUGAAAAUCUGGAUCUUGCUCUCUAUGGACACCCGUGUCUUGUUUCUGUUGACACCCAAGCACUCGCUGGUUAACAGCAAAACGCAGAUUUCACUGAACAUGUUGACCAUGCGUCAUAGAUCUGAGCACAGAUCAGCCGAAAAGACUUGGUUAAAGGCCAGGAAAAAUCUGCCUCGAACAGGAAAAGUAGGGAAGCUUAUUUUUGCAAUCGAGGUGAAAGGAAUUGAAAGAUCUCAUUUUCUUCUCUCCUCCCUGGAAACGCUUCCUAAUCCUAACAGUGAGACUCUUGUGGGAGCAAGGAUGUGAGGAUGGAAGAGAGACCUUUGUGUAUUACUCUUCCAAAAGCAGUGUUGGGUUUCCUCCAGCAAUCUGGAGGAGCUUCGCCACAUCACUUGUAGCUGGUGCUGUCAUUUCAGUUGCCCUUUUUGCAUUGAGUGGGAGAAUCUGUGGGUCUCAUGGAGGAGCUGGCAGGCAACAGUCCUGGGACAAAUGGAGUAUGUGUGGGUCUGGCAGAGGGUGUGGAGUCACUGUGCGAGUGCCUGGCCUGUUUACAUGUACCCAAAGAGCGUUCAAGUUGUGACUUGAACAGGGGAUUGCUAAUGCCAGGUUUGUCGGUGGUGGGAGAGACUCUGAUCAUCCACCUGGUGGGGUGUUUUGGGAGGCUGGUCUGCACCCACCACCUGCAGAACUUGGGCCUCUGCAGCUUUGAAGCAUGUAAACUUAGCUCUGAGUCCUUUGGUCACAAAAGGUAUGAAAUACACAGGUGUGCUUCUGACUCAGUUGGAGGCAGCUGUUGAAGGUGGAUAGGCUCCUCCAGUCCUUCUGAAGUUGUUUUACAGGAAGAACUUUGUCUGCCGCCAGGACCUCCUUCCUUCAUCUCAAUUUCGGUGUGUCACCAUCUAUUUCUGUGCAGAUCGCAGUUCAGAACCAACCAGAUUGGCUUCAGCCUCAUCACACAGAUUUUACUUAAUGAUAAUUCUUUGUGCAGUAGUUCCUACACACUUGUGUUAAAUUGGACACGGGGUGUGCCAGGCACAAGUAUGCUGGGGGAGGUCCCCAUCCUGCCAGCUGACAGACAGGAGUUUGCAGAGGUGUCCCUGCAGCUCUAUUUAGUGAGUUGGCACUUCUCCGGACUGCUGGUUGACAAAACUCUGUCCCAGGACAAUUUUAGAAAGUUUUCUUACUUUCUACUGUGGCAGUAGUAAGCUCCAGGUGUGCAUCAUCUUGCCUGUCAUAGAAAACUGCAGGUGCCAUUCCUCACUCGUUCACAAAGGCUUAUCUAGCCUGGUUUUAGCCAAAGCCAGCAAAAUACUCCUGAAAGGAGUCCAGUGUCAUCUUCAUCUCCUAGCAAGGGAAAUUGAGGCACCAAGUGCUGGAUUCAAGGCAGCCUGCAGGCUGGUUGUGAGUGGUGUUUUAGGUGCAUGCACUCUUCCCAACGUGGGCCCCCUAGCCUGGCACAGCCAACCCUGGCAGGGAGCCGACCUCGCUGGAGGCAUUCCUGCAGAAAGGGAGAGGCAGGUUUCCUCGGGGCUGAGUACAAAUACACCCUGGCAAUGAGCAGUAGGUGGUGUUGCACCGACAUGUCAGAGAAAAGCCUGUUUGUGCCAAACGUAUCGGAGAAACUGUUUUGGAAUGGUUCAUUGGUGUGAAGACAGGGCCCCAAAAUAGUGUCGGGAGAAGAGGAACUGUAGCAACAUGCUGGGGACGUGCCAGCUGUCUGCAUUAGACAGAAGGGUGGUAGAUUAGGAAGGAACAUGGGUGCAUUUAUUCCUCCACAUUUUUCCCCACAUCUCUUUAAAAAAUCCUGCAGGAGAGGACACUGCUUCCCAGCCAUGGGUGCUGUCAUGACCGCACCAAGACAAGGUGAGGUGGUGCUGCCACUGGGGGAGCAUGACAGAAAUGCUGUUCUCCACAGGGCUCCCUUGUCUCUGGUGGGUGUUGUAGGGUGGGUGAAAGAUGCUGGGUGGGAGAUGGGGCCUUUGGACUAUAGGAAAUCAGUGAACCCUGGGGAUCUGGGGUAUUUCUGACCACCUUCCUGAUCACUCAGGAGGGAUCAAGGCAUGCUGUGGAUGUUGGUGGGAGGAGGGUACGUACAGUUAGCCAUCAGCCCUGCUUCGGGUACCAAGUGUGGAAGGAGCAGGGUGUAGGGGUUGCAGCCCCCCUAGCCUCCUUCCUCCAAACUUCCCCCAAACGCUCCCCCCUCUCCCAAGCACACAGUCCUUGUUGGCAGUGCGGCACUGCAGCUGCCACCAGACCCAAGCAAAUCUGAUAAUGCAGGGUGAGGAGUGGGGGGUAAAAUCAACCAAGGAGCAAAAGAGCCCUUUGUCACAUGUGCGUUAUUCUCCGGGGGUGGCAUUGCUGUUUCCCAGGCAGCAGCAGGUUGCGAGGAGAGCUGGUAGGCAGGUGACCGGGGCGAAGCAGAGAGCCACCCGCUGCGGUGAGAAGGGGAUGCUGUUGGCAAUAAACAGCAAGCUACAAAAGGAGGCAGGGACUGCAGAGAGGGAGCUGAGGAGGUCUCCAUAGAGACACUUCACCUGCUGCCAUGGGUGCCUUUGGGGAUUGGCACCGUCUGGGUCCUUAGGAAGAAAGGCGCCUGGCACGGGUACGGCAGGAUGCUCGCUGUCGGUGCUGCCUGCAGCGAGGUGGAGCCUUCCAGGCCCACUAUUCAGAGGAGGAAAAAAUGGCAUUGAAAUGAUGUUAAGGUUGGGGCCCAAGACAUUCAAAGAGUGCAUGCCAGCUGCUUGCUCUCAGAAAGGGGCCCAAAGCCCCAGAAGGAGGGGAGCGGGCAGAGGAAGGGCAGAGAUGCUGCAUUUCCCUGGGCUGACAGUGUGGUGGCUUUCCUUGCCUCAGGUGCAAGCUGACCAUGGCAGAAAUUAUCCUUUUGCUUGAUCCAUACUGUUGUUAUUUUGAGGCAAUGCUCGCUGAGGGACGGGGAGAUGGGAAAAGCUUCAUGCCGACAGCGACCAGCCAUGCUCCAAUGCUGCAGACAGCAUGGAGGUAACCUAACUGCUGUCCCCUGGCUUAGGUAUCACUUCCAGCUGGGAGGUGGUGACAGGCUGUAUGGGUGCUUCCAGCCUCCAGACUGGAGCUGUGGAUGUUCCUCAAUUCCCCAAAGUCAAGAGUGUGCAUGCCCAUCCAUGGGACGUGUCAGGCUAUGGCUGUGCUGCGCGUGGAGGAGAGGUGCAUAGGCUAUUACAGAGCAAGCACACAGAGACCUUCCUGACCUCCUUGUGGUCACAUCUGGCAGAGGACAGAGGGCCGGCUACUCCUCCCUUCCAGGCUGCACUGUGCUUCUAGAUGAGGUGAAGAUUCAUGGCUUGAGGAGGAGAUGAGACAUGGAGCAGCUGUGCUCAAUAAGCCCUGGUGCUUGUUUGGCGGGGAUGUAUCUGAGCUGUGCUGCACUAGCGUUUUGGACUGUUCCACUUGAAGUGGGACUGUGGGACUCAAAGCUGGAGUUUCCAGAGAUCCCUUUGAACUGGUUCAGGAGGGUGAAGGGAAAUGACAGUAUAGAGCCAGACCUUUUAUCUCCUUGUGCUAGAGCUGGGGUGUCAGUGAUGGAUACGAUGAAUUGACGGUAUGGGUUGUGCUCAUGUGCCAAGUGCUGCGUCACACGGACAUGGAAAUCACCGAAUCCACCUAGCGUAAACAAAGGAAAUGGGGAAGUGAUUUACAGUAAAAUUAAUAAAAAUGUGGUCCAUCUCAAAAGGGAAAUGCACAGACCACUCUUUGGGCUUUGAGGAGGGUCAACAAGACCGAGUGGAGAAUGGGCCAGAGAAAAAGGUUUUCUCUGCAGCCUUGGGAGUAAGCGAUGGACUCACCCAGCGCCAUCCUGCCCUGGGAUCCCCCUUCCCAGGCAGUGGCCCAACAAGCCCAGGAGGACAGCCCAGAGGAAAGCUGGCUUUGCUUCAUGCCUCUGUGCGCACAGCCAUGGGGAACUGCUGGUUUGGGAGCACGCUCUCAUCACUCAGGGACACAUGAGACCCAGGAGCAGCUGGCUCUCUCGCGAAACUGUCUGACCAGAACAGGAGUCAUUUCCCUUUUCCCCUAUUCCCUGCAGAAAGUGCCGGGUUGUCAGCAGGUUGCGUGAGGUUAAACAGUCACAUCUGAAGUGCUUCUCCGCCGUGACGUGUCUGAACCUCUGCAGCUCUGUGUCUGGCCCUGCUCCUUGUUGUUGCCUACAGGAAUGCAUGGAGAAAAAAAAAGAGGUAAAAAUUAUAAGGGAAGCGGUAGGGACAGACACCACCUGGCUCUCCUCUUUCAUCCACCAACUUAUUUCUCCUGAGUGAAGCAAAAUUUCUCCAUGUGUGUUCCAGCAGAAAACAAAAGGGGGACUAAGCUGUGAGAGACAAUAACAACAGUUAAUUACAAUUAUUAUUGUUUUCUGUUAGCUUGGCUAAAUGGUGUGUAAGUACAGACUGGGUUGUUUGCAAGAUUGUAAAGAGGAUGUGUUGAGAUGGGUGAUGGAGGUUAACAGUUCCCCCUAACAUCUGACAUGCAACUUUUCAGGAGAAAGAUGCUGAUGUCAUUUGAAACUGCUCUGGUUGAUAUUAAAGUUUACUGUCCAAAGAA